GGCCAUAGUGGAAGAAGCUAGCUUGCGGUUUGAUUCUUAUGGAGAAGGCACAGGACAGGAAUCAUCCUUCUCCCUCUAUUUCCUCAUAUCGACUCAUUGGCAAGGUGAAGGCUCAGUCGGUAUGAUCCAAGGAAGACAACUUUGUGAGAUUCGAGGAGAAUCGCCUCUUCCCGAAGUAGUAGGAGAGGGAGUUGCUGAAG
RNAcentral lists this long non-coding RNA (200 nucleotides) under Elaeis guineensis (African oil palm). Its description in RNAcentral is "long non-coding RNA (EGUI_LNC049122)". Lineage: Eukaryota; Viridiplantae; Streptophyta; Magnoliopsida; Arecales; Arecaceae. The record is from RNAcentral.